This 754-nucleotide long non-coding RNA is filed under the name Capra hircus (goat). RNAcentral describes it as "lncRNA (ENSCHIG00010031826.1)". The record is from RNAcentral. Lineage: Eukaryota; Metazoa; Chordata; Mammalia; Artiodactyla; Bovidae.
UCGUUCUCACUAAAGGAUCCUCGUUCAGCAAGUCUGGGGUCAGCUUCCUGAACCUGCAUCUGUAAUUUGUAUUUCAGGUGAUUGUUGGGCAGGUGAUCUGCAUCUGCAACUUGGAAAAACAUUUCUUGGAAUGUUUACUGCUUUGUCCCUGCUCAGAAGAUUCAAACCCACUUUCUCAACUCAUAUUACAAAAAAAUAACAGUGCAGACAACAUCUGUACCUGUUUAAAUAAGGAGGCUGGUAACCAGAUCUCAAACGGCCAGUAAAUAAUCUCUCGUUUUUCUUUCUUUCUUUCUUCUCCUCUACUCUGUCUCUCCUGCCCUUUGCUCUUUGAUGUGUGCGAGGGGAUAGGAGGGUAAUCAGGCACUGAGAAACCACAAUUACGGAGGGUCGUUUUUCACUUAUUAUUUCUUCUGAUGCUUUUACUUUUUGACUUUGCAUGAUUAAGGAAAGGGGAGGGGAAAAGGUUGGUGAAAGGGUCAGUCUAUUGUGUUGCUUCUGGAUUCUGUGUAUUUACUCUUCCUAAGUCUGUGUACAUUCUGAAUCACUUGACAUGCUGCACAUUCUUCUAUAAAAUCUAGCUUGGAGCAGCAGUCUUUGGACACUGUGGAGGUACACUGAGUAAUUCUAGGAUUUGAAUAGUUAAAAAAAAAAGCUGAGAGGUUUUUUUUUUUUUAAACAACCUGAUGUCUUUGAGAACAUACUUUCCUUAAUUAGCAGUGACUAAUUCUAUAGUUUUUCUUUUAAAUGAACU